Molecule: ribosomal RNA, 502 nt
Filed under: uncultured Glomus
Lineage: Eukaryota; Fungi; Glomeromycota; Glomeromycetes; Glomerales; Glomeraceae
Description: SSU rRNA
Rfam family: Eukaryotic small subunit ribosomal RNA
Source: RNAcentral
AGCAGCCGCGGUAAUUCCAGCUCCAAUAGCGUAUAUUAAAGUUGUUGCAGUUAAAAAGCUCGUAGUUGAAUUUCGGGAUUAGUACGCUGGUCAUGCCUUUGGUAUGUACUGGUGUUACUGGUUCCUACCUUCUGAAGAACCGUUAUGUCAUUAAUUUGGUGUGGCGGGGAAUCAGGACUGUUACUUUGAAAAAAUUAGAGUGUUUAAAGCAGGCUCGCGCUUGAAUACAUUAGCAUGGAAUAAUGAAAUAGGACGUUGAUCCUAUUUUGUUGGUUUCUAGGAUUGACGUAAUGAUCAAUAGGGAUAGUGGGGGCAGUUAGUAUUCAAUUGUCAGAGGUGAAAAUUCUUGGAUUUAUUGAAGACUAACUACUGACGAAAGCAUUUGACCAGGAUGUUUUCAUUAGUCGAGAACGAAAGUUAGGGAUCGAAGACGAUCAGAUACCGUCUAGUCUUAACCAUAAACUAUGCCGACUAGGAUGGAUGAUUGUUUAAUUUUUAUGUA